GUAUUGUCUUAAAGCAUGGAUGUACUGUGUACUUGUAAAGUGAAAAUGGAGGAAAAUGAUCCUAGCUCGGUAAACCAUUGCAAAAAUGAUGAUCCAAAUUCAUUUUCUGAACCUAAUUCUCCAACUCUGGAAACAGUCUCUGGCUUUUCAACAUGUUCUUCCCCAGUGCCUCCAGAGCCAUUUGAACCUUUGUUUUCUGUUAAGUUUUCAGGCACUGUUGAGAAAGAUGGGGAUAUUGUAAAGUACACCAUUAAGUCAAUAAAAAAGAAUGGUGAUGUUAGUUAUGUAGUACAAAGACAGUAUGAAGAUUUUGAAUGGCUUGAACAUUGUUUACUGACAUCAAAUCCUUUACCUGGUCUUAUUAUUCCUCCUUUACCACCAAAACCUGCAAUAACAUCUGAAAUGGCUGAAGCCAAAUCUAAGAGGCAGCUUGGGAGUGAUACAAAGACCCUCAUUGGAGACCAGUUUAACAAAGACUGUUUACAGUUAGAACAAUACCUCCGUCUUCUUCUUUCUCACUGCUUAUUUGGGCGUGAUGAGAUCUUGGAAAAAUUCUUGACUGAAAAAGAACCUCCACCUCGUGCUAAAGUAAAAAGAGGUAUUUUUUCAAGAAUAUCUGAAUCAUUCGAAGGGAGAAAAAGUUCUCAUCGGGACUGUGAAGAGUUCUUUCAGAAAGAAAGAGACUGCAUAUCUAAAUAUAGUGUACAAAUUAAAGAAACAAAUGAGGCAUUUUGUUCUGUUGUGUAUUCUCAACAAAGACUAUGCAAUGUUCUAGGCCACCUUGCUACAGCAUUAACACUCGCCCAGUGUUCUAAUGAGAAUGCUGCCAAGUUAGGAAAUAAGUUAUGCAGCUUAUUUUCAGAAGCCUUAGAAGAUGCAAGACAUGGUCUCCAAGUCUUGUCUUACAAUGACGAAAACACCCUGGGUGCCUACUUAGAUCUUUAUACUCGGUAUAUUGAAUCAGAGAAAGAAAUGCUCUUGCAACGGACAUGUUUAUUAGUUGAAUAUGAGAAUGCGAACAAAGCAUUAGAUAAAGCCAAACCUCAAAAGAAAGCAGCUGCAGAAGAAGCAAAGUUUGCAGCAGAAAAAGCAUUUGAAGACUGUUCAGAUGUUGCUAGACAGGAAAUAAAAAAAUUCCACAGACAAAGGGUAAAAAUGUUUCAAGAAAGCUUAGAAAAAUUUGCUGAAGCCCAAUUACGAAAUGCAAGAGAUGUUACAGCAAUGCUUGCAAAAUCAUUAACGAAAAUUAAGCAAUUUGAAAUCGAUCUAUAAUGAAAGGUGGCUGCUGAAGACUCUUUUUGAGUUUAUUAGGUUGAGAAGACAGGAUGAAUUGUCAAGCUUGGUACCUUUGGAGACAUCAGUUGCUUUUCUGUUUCAAAAAGCUAUUACAGACCAUUACUUCCUGUCUCUAUCUUUGCUCUGUCUUUGAAAUAAAUACAGCUGUUUAUAAAAUAGUUGCAACAAAGACCAUUAUUACAAAUAGGAAGAAGUGAGUUUAUAGGAAACAGCCUUUUGAAGUACUUUUAAAGUAACUGGAUUGGUCUGAAAAAAUAAUGAAAUUGAUUACAAGUUGAAAUCGAAUUUGGAAUGGCGAUUAUAGGUUAUAUAGAUCACCUAAUCAGUGCUUGAUUCUUGAACUCUAGCUACAGUUAUUUGUAAAAUGUAUGAAAAUAAUAGAUACUUAUUGUACAAAUGGAUGUUUGACAUUUUUUCAAAUAAAAUAUUUCAAUUUUUAUUAAUAA
Molecule: RNA transcript, 1742 nt
Organism: Stegodyphus dumicola
Lineage: Eukaryota; Metazoa; Arthropoda; Arachnida; Araneae; Eresidae
Gene name: sorting nexin-32-like
Source: RefSeq, a predicted model, not a curated record